RNA transcript from Platichthys flesus (European flounder), 3069 nucleotides. It is a transcript of the gene named microcephalin 1, with no coding region annotated. The record is from RefSeq and is a predicted model, not a curated record. The transcript is spliced from 15 exons. NCBI's taxonomy places the organism in Eukaryota, Metazoa, Chordata, Actinopteri, Pleuronectiformes, Pleuronectidae.
CGUCGCUCUUUACCCCAGAAUGCAUUGCAUCACAAACUGCACGCGCGAACAAUGCCCCAACAAGUUGCCAGAUCUUUUUGGAAACUGCACAUUUAACCCUCUCUGCUGCUUAAAGUGGAGCUAGAGGCCAGUAAUGACCACAAACCACAACUCUUCUGUCCUUAAAGAUGUUGUUGCCUAUGUUGAUGUGUGGUCGUCAGACAAAACAGCAAAUUAUUCAAAACCAUUCGUUCAGCAGCUGCAGGAAAUGGGAGCUCAGGUUUCAAAAACAUUCAAUAAACAAGUCACACAUGUGGUCUUCAACAAUGGUCAUCCGGCCACUUGGAGUAAAGCUAAGAAAACUGAUGUGAGACUCGUCUCUGUUCUCUGGAUUGGCAGAUGUAAUGACGAAGGUGUGCGUGUGGAUGAGGGGUUGUAUCCAGCCUUAAAUGACGAGAGCAAUCCUGUGUUGAAGAACAAGAAGCAUCGCUGCAUGCAGCCUAAAGAUUCUCCAGAGAGGACACCUGAAAAUGACAAACGCAUGAAGAAAAAAUUGGACAAGAUGAUGAAGGACCUUGCACCGAAACAACCUCUGGUGACCGAUGUGUCGCCCAUCAUCAUCGAUGAAGAGAAUGGAAUAGUCUACAGCCCUGCAUUGAAAAGAUCAAAUUAUAUGGCACAGCGCUUGAAAGACAUGAAAGAGAAGCGGGAAAACCUCUCACCCACAGCUUCACAAAUGGUUGAAUCCUGCUCACCUACCAGGCUGAAGCCUUCUCUAGGGAGCACACCAACUGUCCUCAAAUUAAUGUUUGACCAUUCGGAUGAUGAUUCCAGUGCCUCUGCUGCGGAACCUGGCUGCUCACCUGAUAAAGAGGAAGGGAGAACAAAAGUUGAUGUAGAUGAUCAUGGAAGUGUUGAAAAACGCCACAGGAAAGAUUCUGCAACGCCCUGGCUGUCACCCUGCCGUGAAGUCCCAAAAAUGAUAUCAAGCCCUUUGAGAUGUCAGGACUUGAAGGACAAAGAGGAUGAAGAGGGAACGAGACAAAAAAAGACAAGAAGCCUCUCAGUCAGAAAAGAGAGAGAGAAAAAGAAAUCUGUACGUUUAUUGGAAAUUCCGUGCCAGGAUACAAAGUCUGACAACAGCCCAAACGUUUGUAAAGAGAAAAGGCGAUCACAGAUAAAAUCAACUAGCCCAAAACCUGAGAAGGGAAAGCAAAAAAGUAAAGCAGACAAACCGUUUACAGAGACUAAGUCCAGUAUUUGUCCCAAUAAUGUGAAUUUUUCGGGUUGUCUCUUGUCACCAGCUACGUCAGGUGGUGCUGGAGUUGGACUGUCCAAAGUAGCUGCUUCUGUCUUACAGAAAACACCCAAACGAGCCAGACUAUCACUUUCUUCCUUGGUGCGAUCCGUCACUGUCUCUGCUCAACCUCACAGUGUUGCAUCAGUUUCGACAGAUGGAGAUGAUAACGUGUUUGAGGACUAUUUUUCCCCAGCGAACCACCAGCAUAGAUCUAAAAAGCCUCUCAUGACGAAUCUGCCUGUGGAGACGGGCAUUCAGAUUCCCUUUGAGUUGAACUCUGUCCCAAAGAAGAGAAAACAAAGAAGAAGUGAAAGUGUCGAGUCUGAGACCAUCAGUAAAAAGAAGAGGAAGGUGGAAGAAAGUCAGAGUGGCAAAAAUCCCAAUCAGUGGUCUGAUGCAAGCAGACACUCACAGCUAGAGGUUAAAGAAUCUCUCCCUGCACUGGACAGUUCAAGUGCCAGUGCAACACUCAUGGCUAAAAGGUCAAGACGCAGCACCUUACCUCUCUCAAGCGCUGGUACAACUACAAAUGAUGCAGUAAAACAAAGACGAGCAUCUGUGCUAUCAGCAGUGUUAACAGAGGAUAAAGCAGUAUCACAGCUGGAGAAAAGUUCUGGUGUCAGGGUCCAAUCUCAAACCUUGGAAAGCAGAGGAAAUGAAUGUACAGUUGCAGCUGGUUCAACAGAGAUCCUCUCUGAAGGUGAUAUCAUUCACAAUCAGAAGAUCAGCGCGAAUCUUCAGAAACUGGACAAAAAAACAAAGGGAAUGAGGACAUUGGUGAUGACAAGCUUGCCCUCUGAGAAGCAGACCACGUUAAUUCAGGUGGUGAAAACACUGGGUGGCUUCAUAAUCGUUGACCGUGUGUGUGAGAGCACGACUCAUGUUGUGUCUGGGGGUCACCGGCGGACUCUCAAUAUUCUGUUGGGCAUAGCCCGUGGCUGCUGGAUCCUUUCCUUUGAAUGGAUUCUCUGGUGUUUAGAGCAAAGACAUUGGAUUCCAGAGGAGCCUUAUGAACUAUCGGACCAGUUUCCAGCAGCCCAGUUUCUCCUCAGAUCUGUCGUCUCCAAAGGCACCUGUCUGCCGGGGAGCACCAGCAGGACCUGUUCCAAGAUCAGCCGACUAUGUUUGUGUCCCAGUACUCCCAGCCGCCCACUCAGUGUCUGAUGGAGCUGAUCCAGCUCUGUGGAGGAACAGUGUGUAAAACUAUGCGGCAGGCGGGUAUCUGCAUAGGGAGGUACAACGGCAGGAGACCAAAGGGAAGCAGGAUCCUGUCGGAGCAGUGGGUGCUGGACAGUAUCACACGUCUGAAGCAGCUGUCAUAUGAUAACUACGAUUUGGAGUGAAAGCUGUAUAAUAUUUGUUAUGGCUGUGAUGUUUAGUUUAUUGAAUUUAAUUCUGAACGGUGCCUCACAUCACACACACCCUCACGUUCAACCUUCAAGUUUCUCUCAUGCAACUUUAUCGUAUUGUUUAGUCUUUGAGGCUUUUUCCCAAAUUCUCUCACCUAUUCUAUUUUCAAAGACUUUGAGUCUAUGUUGCCAUGGUGACCUAUUACUUGUAAGGACUAUCAACCAUUCAACAUGUUACUGUGAAUCUAGAUUAACAUUCUGCAGGUCGAUCUUCUAUUGUAUGAAUUGUGCAACAACUGAAACAUAAGAUUGAGAGUGUGAUUUUAAAAAUACUUUCUGAGCCAGUUCAAUACUUGAAUGGAGAUAAAGGAUACUGUAUCUUUAAUGAAAUCUUUAUAUACGUGUUUUAUGUUGUUCGUGUUAAUAAAUGUUUUUUUAACU